AUGUAUAUUGAUUCUAUUAAUCCUUUCAUUCUUCAAUGUUUUCUAAAUUACAUAUUUAGAGGUCCUGACAUGCAGUCUUUUUGGUGUUACAUGUCUCAGUCGACUGGGUGUAUAGCACAUGUGUUUGGAGCUUGGGAGUUUGGGGCCAGAAAACAAUGUCAAGUCAGGGACCUGGAGCACAAAUGGAUUUGUUGCACUUCCCAGAUUUCCUCAUGGCAGUGAUUCUUCUUCAGCCCUUUGACUUCAGAAGGAUGGCAUAGGAACCUCAAAAACAGUUUUCCGGUUUCCUGGUAGCUACAUCUCCAUGUAGCUUUCAUAGUUUCUAAAGCAGUGUUUGGUCUGCAUCUGUAGACUAGACUUGCCUGUUGACGAUACGACAUGUGCAGAUAGAAUUUAAAAAGAAAUGCACGCAACGGAAAGUGGUUUGGAGUACUCUCCUCACCCCACGCCGAUGAAAAAGACCCACACGAUUGAAAAAGUUAUGUUUUAUACAGUUCAUUCUUAGGAGGACAAAAUUACAUUCCAUGCAUCCACGCAGGUAAGUAAAAAUAUUAUUUUCUCCAUUUUAUAAUCAACUCACAAACUCUCAGGGAAAUUGCUGCUUCCUGUGACUACAGUUCUCAAGCCCAAAAUAGGAUCCACAUCUCCUGACUCACUUCUUUUCUCUAGAACACGUCACCUAAAUUAGAGUUCCUUUUUGGUAUCUAAAUACAUGUUUUCCUUUUAAUAGUACUGCCAGACUUGACUGAGGCCUGACUGUACCUGGACUACGCUAAGUACUUCACACAUGUUCUCUCAAGUAGUUUUCUCCUUCCUCCCCUUUCCUAGAAGGUGAGGACUAUUGUCCCCAUUUUACUGAUACAGGAACAGAUAGAAAGAGCUCAACAUGCACAGGAUCCUGCAGCCAGGAAGGACGAAGAAGGAUCUGGGAUUUGGGUCUUGUCAAAUCCCAAAACCUUCGCUCUUAACCACUACCUGCCCACAGCAAAAGUGGCAUUGUUAUUUAGGGGAAUAAGUCACACAACGAACAACAACUCACUUUUUCGUGGGCUUUAGAUUAGAGCCAGCUUCAUCCUGCUAAGAUGUUCAGCUAUAGUCCUGUAAAGUGACUGGCUAUAUUUAGAAGAAUAAUCUCAUGAUCUCUAAUGAUGUUUCCCUGAUUUUGCUUAUUAAACACAACCAUACGUCUAUACACUUAGGACAGGAUUCUUAAAAUCAAAGACUCAUCUGAAAAAAGAGAAAAC
This 1244-nucleotide long non-coding RNA is filed under the name Felis catus (domestic cat). RNAcentral describes it as "lncRNA (ENSFCAG00000048737.1)". The record is from RNAcentral. Lineage: Eukaryota; Metazoa; Chordata; Mammalia; Carnivora; Felidae.